RNAcentral lists this unclassified non-coding RNA (339 nucleotides) under soil metagenome. RNAcentral describes it as "partial contains 5.8S ribosomal RNA, internal transcribed spacer 2, and large subunit ribosomal RNA". The stretch from base 1 to 120 matches the Rfam family "5.8S ribosomal RNA", at positions 35 to 154 of the family's 154-position model. The record is from RNAcentral.
GAUGAAGAACGCAGCGAAAUGCGAUAACUAAUGUGAAUUGCAGAAUUCAGUGAAUCAUCGAGUCUUUGAACGCACAUUCCGCCCCCUGGUAUUCCGGGGGGCAUGCCUGUCCGAGCGUCAUUGCCGCCCUCAAGCACGGCUUGUGUGUUGGGCUCCGUCCCCCCGGGGACGGGCCCGAAAGGCAGCGGCGGCACCGAGUCCGGUCCUCGAGCGUAUGGGGCUUUGUCACCCGCUCUGUAGGCCCGGCCGGCGCCAGCCGACAACCCAUCAUCCUUUUCAGGUUGACCUCGGAUCAGGUAGGGAUACCCGCUGAACUUAAGCAUAUCAAUAAGCGGAGGA